Macaca fascicularis (crab-eating macaque) is the source of this 2493-nucleotide long non-coding RNA. NCBI's taxonomy places the organism in Eukaryota, Metazoa, Chordata, Mammalia, Primates, Cercopithecidae. The record is from Ensembl.
AGUGCACUGCACGGUGCUCCGUCCUCAUCCCCGUGGGGCCUCACUGCCAAACAGGCAUCACUCCUGGGAAGCCACCAGCUCUGGGGAGGGAUGUUUAGACUGGGCGGAGGCACCUUACUCUACUUAUCCACAGCAGGUCACCCACGACUUGGCUCCACUAGCCACUACCUCGAGUAUCGCCAGUCCCACAGGUGAACGGAAAACGCCUCGGCAUCCACAGGUCCGUACCCAAAGCUCCCGCGCAGGAGAAAUAAACGUCACUUCUGCUUGCCUCUCACUGGCCAGGAGAGUCACGUGAUGGCAUGACCUCAUGGGGCGGGGCCAGCAUCCUCCCGGGUGCCAGCCGUGAGCCGCGGUGGAGCCGCGGGGAGGUGGAGGCGACUUAACGUUGCGAGUCUGGGUCGGUGGGCAGGUGGGUACCCCUUACUGCUGAGAUAAGGCUGUUCAGGGAAGCGGCCUCCUGACAGUGCGUGAUUACCCAGAGUGUAAAUCCCAGUGCUGGCCAGGAUCCAGGAAAAGGCCAGGAGCAGGGCUUUCCCACCUGGCAGGUGAGUGGGGUCCCCUGGACCACCUGGAGGCCGUGCAGGAGCAGCGAUGCUGCAGCCCCGUGCAGUGAACCCACUCAGAUCUCAGGCGUGGUUUCUGAGAGCCACUCAGCCCUUGGCCUUCUAAGACCUUUCCCACCCCACCCCGCCUCUAGUCUUCUCUUCUAAGACUCUUUAGAAAGGAGCCUGUGGUCAAACUUUGCCCACGCAUCUAACCUCCAGCCUGAGUCCCUGGGAACUUGAUUACAUCACUGCCUCCUGCAUAUCUACUAUCCACAUUUAAAUGUUAUCUGAACCAUGGUGACUUUGAGAGGUUAAAGCUUUAAGUGAAAAGGAAAAUGAACCUUACAGUUCAGCCUCGACUGCCCAAUGCCUGUGACUUCUCAGGCAUCGCAGCACAAAGAUCUUCAAGGAAAUCAUCCAAAUGAGACCUCUUCCUCAUUAAGGUUUAUCAUUAACUGAGAAAAGAAAGAAAUAUUUAAAGUAUCAUUAUUUCUUUUUUCCUGAAGGUAUGGAAUUCCAAUUUUUUCCAAGUAAAUGUGGAACCAUUCAGUUAUUUUUUAAAUGAAUGCUUUGUCUUUACAAUUUGUGCUACAGCAAGCUCUCCUCUUCAUUUCUAACUCUUUUUACUGGAGGACCCCUAGAGAAAGUAGUUUGGGGACUUCCAUGCUUAUUAGAUGCACAUCAAGCAGAUCCUGUUCACUCCAUCUCAGCUUUUCUUUCAUGGCAUCAGGGGCAGGCUAUUAUUUGCAAGCAGCCAAGGUAAUUACCAUCCAGCAGGGUCCAAUUGUUUUCAAUUAAAAGCUUUACUGCAGUCUUUAGUUUUAAUACCACUGUGGCCAUCUGCUUUCACUGAAGAUCUACCAGCCAAAAGCCCAGGCCACAUCUUAAUGCCAUUAACUCCUGAGAGCCAUUUUCCUCCAGAAUGAACUCAAUAGUCCAGGGGAAAUAUGGGAAUAACCUCAUGUUAUCUUUGGUGGCCUGGGGAAAGCUAUAGGACUCAAGAAGGUUAUUUUCAGAAAGACAAGCACUACCUCUUCUUGCCUGAAGUGCUAGGUAAUUGUCUUAAUUCUCUGCUUCACUUCAGCAGAGGAUGCUGAACUGUAACUGCUCCAUUGCACAUUUUCCAUCCAGCCUCAAUAUUCUGUAGCCCUAUUAUAAAAUGUCUCUGAACUGUAAUUUCAUCAGAUGGAUCACUUUGGUAUAGACAUUUUCCAUUUUGAUAUUCAAUUUCUAUCCAACUCUGCUUAGCUCACCAUGACCCAAAAUCUAGGUGUGGAUAAAUGGUAAGGAGUGACCCAGGUUACCGAAUGGAUGCUCACACUGCAAUGUGAGGUCAUUUAACUGUUUUCGUGGCUUAAAACCUGCAGCCCAUUCCAGUCACAAAGUUAUUAGGAAUUAACUUGAGAGUUUUAUUGAACGAUCAGGGACAACAGCCCAAGGCCUAGACUUGGAGUUUACAGCACAUGUUUUGCCUACUCCUGAGGGUUCACACUGUGCAUCGGCUCCACCAAAGCCAUUUACAUUUCUCCCUUCUCCUUCCCUUCCUCUGCAAGAUAGGCUUCUUUGCUAUCCAGGUAGCCAUGGCCCACAACCCUGGCCAAUAAGAUGGAGGGUGCAAGUCCAAAAGGAAAGAUUACUUUCCCCCAAAACUAUACAGGGAGAAGGCUCUAGGCUCUUUUAUUUCCUUUGCCCAUGUCUUUUUUCUUCAUCUUGGACUUGAAGUCUAAAGGAGCAGUGCUGGGUCAGGAAGCAUGAAAACAAAGAUGUCAAUACUAAGGACAAUGGACCGGAAAUUCAGAGGGACUCUGAGUCCUAAAUGGCACUGGACCAGACCUGGACUGGCACCCAGAUUUCUGAUAUGUAAAGCAUGAAAAUCACUAGCUAUGUCAGAUCUACCAGUAGGAUUUAUUGUUUUUGUUUGUUGUUGUUGUAAAAAAAAAAAAAA